RNAcentral lists this ribosomal RNA (771 nucleotides) under uncultured Enterobacter sp. Its description in RNAcentral is "bacterial SSU rRNA". It matches the Rfam family "Bacterial small subunit ribosomal RNA", at positions 799 to 1533 of the family's 1533-position model. The record is from RNAcentral. Lineage: Bacteria; Pseudomonadati; Pseudomonadota; Gammaproteobacteria; Enterobacterales; Enterobacteriaceae.
AUAACGGACGAUGUCGACUUGGAGGUUGUGCCCUUGAGGCGUGGCUUCCGGAGCUAACGCGUUAAGUCGACCGCCUGGGGAGUACGGCCGCAAGGUUAAAACUCAAAUGAAUUGACGGGGGCCCGCACAAGCGGUGGAGCAUGUGGUUUAAUUCGAUGCAACGCGAAGAACCUUACCUACUCUUGACAUCCAGAGAACUUAGCAGAGAUGCUUUGGUGCCUUCGGGAACUCUGAGACAGGUGCUGCAUGGCUGUCGUCAGCUCGUGUUGUGAAAUGUUGGGUUAAGUCCCGCAACGAGCGCAACCCUUAUCCUUUGUUGCCAGCGGUCCGGCCGGGAACUCAAAGGAGACUGCCAGUGAUAAACUGGAGGAAGGUGGGGAUGACGUCAAGUCAUCAUGGCCCUUACGAGUAGGGCUACACACGUGCUACAAUGGCAUAUACAAAGAGAAGCGACCUCGCGAGAGCAAGCGGACCUCAUAAAGUAUGUCGUAGUCCGGAUUGGAGUCUGCAACUCGACUCCAUGAAGUCGGAAUCGCUAGUAAUCGUAGAUCAGAAUGCUACGGUGAAUACGUUCCCGGGCCUUGUACACACCGCCCGUCACACCAUGGGAGUGGGUUGCAAAAGAAGUAGGUAGCUUAACCUUCGGGAGGGCGCUUACCACUUUGUGAUUCAUGACUGGGGUGAAGUCGUACAAGGGGUAACCAAAAGGGGUGGAGAAUGGGUAAAUGAGGUCGUAAAAAGGGUAGUGAGGGAAGGGGAGGGGGGGCAGGG